This 1263-nucleotide long non-coding RNA is filed under the name Ursus maritimus (polar bear). Its description in RNAcentral is "lncRNA (ENSUMAG00000025456.1)". The record is from RNAcentral. Lineage: Eukaryota; Metazoa; Chordata; Mammalia; Carnivora; Ursidae.
UCCCCGGCUGGUGUCCCAUGGCUUCAGCUUCCAUUUCCGCCCAUACAUGUGGAGGAUGAUGCCAGGCAGCAGGUUGAAGAAGAGCUUGGAGAGCCGUGGGCAGUUUAGGAAGAUGCUCCCAUGUGCCUGCCCUGCCUUCUUCCUGUCUGCCACCGCCGUGCACUUGUGGCACCUUUGAGAAGGUCACAUCAUCAGAGGAAGCACUGUCGGUCAUGGGCCAUCUGGAGGGCAGGGACUCCUAUGGCCUCACAGUUAUUGAGUUCCACGAACUUACACCUUUUUACAGCAGGUGCGGCAUUUCCGUGAGGGAGCUCCCCGUGGGCUACCCAAGGAAGCACUUUCUCUUUGAGUUUCUAACCCUUGCUGUUUUAGACCAUACCUAGCUAGCAGCCUUGAUUCUUUUCUUGAUCUCUGAUCCUUCUACAAGGUGGGUUCUGCCAGGAAUCCAGCCUAGAUCGACACAUGCGUGCCACCAAGGCCUGGCCUGUGACAGAGAUGAAUAUAUAUUCAGAGUCAGCCCUGGGCCAGGUGUACGUGUGCCCCUUCAGGUAAUCUCACAACGGUUCUGUGAAAAACAGCAAUAUUUUGUCUCCUUUUGCAGAUAAGAAAACUGAGGCUCCCAGAGGCAAAAUCACCUGUGCCAAGUCUCACCAGAGGAUUCUUUCCCUCGCUCGUUCUCUCUGUCACUCUGGUCCAUGAACUCCUGAAGCAACACUUUCGGAAAUGAUUCCUAGCCUGGAAUACCUUUUCCCCAGGGAUCCUUGUGAUCCUUCGCCUGAAAAUACAGUGCCGCGCCUCUUCCACGUCUAGGGUUUCAUCUUGCUGCGGGCCAACCUUGCUCUGCAGGGACAGCAACCUGCCGGGAGCAGAUCCUUGCUAUCUGCUGCCCACCCAGCACACCGGAGCCUCAGGAUUUCACUCGCACCUGGAUUCACUGCCCCCAGAGCCUGACAUCACUGUUAGACUCAGUCUCCCAGACCAGACAUGCCAGGACCCAUGGUCAUAAUAUCGCUACGCAAGCUACCAACUCCCACGUUUGGCCUGCCCAGAUGAGCCACUUCCUCCCAGCCCCUGUCGCUGUGGGUAAGUCUGCCUCUGGGUCACGUAUCCCGCUAGCCUUCCUUGUCUUUCUGUGGUUGGUCGAGGCAGGGAAGAUCCUGUGACAAAAUGUGAAAAAAGUAGAACUACAAAGGGAAACUAGCUCUACCAUACAUUAACUUAUACUGUAAAGCCUCUGUAACAAAGAGAGUUUGGUACUGGCUC